This 89-nucleotide transfer RNA is filed under the name Lasiosphaeris hirsuta. It matches the Rfam family "tRNA". Rfam says of the family: Transfer RNA (tRNA) molecules are approximately 80 nucleotides in length. Their secondary structure includes four short double-helical elements and three loops (D, anti-codon, and T loops). The record is from Rfam by way of RNAcentral. Lineage: Eukaryota; Fungi; Ascomycota; Sordariomycetes; Sordariales; Lasiosphaeriaceae.
GCGGGUUUAGCUCAGUUGGGAGAGCGUCAGACUGAAGUAAAACUUCACCAUCAAUAUGAAGGUCAUGUGUUCGAUCCACAUAAACCGCA